This 514-nucleotide long non-coding RNA is filed under the name Homo sapiens (human). RNAcentral's name for it is "non-protein coding lnc-ASTN1-3:2". The record is from RNAcentral. Lineage: Eukaryota; Metazoa; Chordata; Mammalia; Primates; Hominidae.
CCUCGAAUGAACCACCCAGCUCCUGUGAAAGUCACAUACAAGAACAUGAGAUUUCCUAUUACACACAAUCCAACCAAUGUGACCUUAAAUAAAUUUAUAGAGGAGCUUAAGAAGUAUGGAGCUACCACAAUAGUAAGAGUAUGUGAAGCAACUUAUGACACUACUCUUGUGGAGAAAGAAGGUAUCCAUGUUCUCAAUUGGCCUUUUGGUGAUGGUGCACCACCAUCCAACCAGAUUGUUGCUGAUUGGUUACAUUUUGUAAAAAUUAAGUUUUGUGAAGAACCUGGUUGUUAUAUUGCUGUUAAUUGCAUUGUAGGCCUUGGGAAAGCUCCAGUACUUGUUGCCCUAGCAUCAGUUGAAGGUGGAAUGAAACAUGAAGAUGCAGUACAAUUCAUAGGACAAAAGCGGAGUGGAGCUUUUAAAAGCAAGCAACUUUUGUAUUUGGAGAAGUAUCAUCCUAAAAUGCGGCUGCGCUUCAAAGAUUCCAAUAGUCAUAUAAACAACUGUUGCAUUC